UAGGGAAUCUUCGGCAAUGGACGGAAGUCUGACCGAGCAACGCCGCGUGAGUGAAGAAGGCUUUCGGAUCGUAAAGCUCUGUUGUAAGAGAAGAACGAGUGUGAGAGUGGAAAGUUCACACUGUGACGGUAUCUUACCAGAAAGGGACGGCUAACUACGUGCCAGCAGCCGCGGUAAUACGUAGGUCCCGAGCGUUGUCCGGAUUUAUUGGGCGUAAAGCGAGCGCAGGCGGUUAGAUAAGUCUGAAGUUAAAGGCUGUGGCUUAACCAUAGUACGCUUUGGAAACUGUUUAACUUGAGUGCAAGAGGGGAGAGUGGAAUUCCAUGUGUAGCGGUGAAAUGCGUAGAUAUAUGGAGGAACACCGGUGGCGAAAGCGGCUCUCUGGCUUGUAACUGACGCUGAGGCUCGAAAGCGUGGGGAGCAAACAGGAUUAGAUACCCUGGUAGUCCACGCCGUAAACGAUGAGUGCUAGGUGUUAGACCCUUUCCGGGGUUUAGUGCCGUAGCUAACGCAUUAAGCACUCCGCCUGGGGAGUACGACCGCAAGGUU
Molecule: ribosomal RNA, 549 nt
Filed under: uncultured bacterium
Lineage: Bacteria
Description: bacterial SSU rRNA
Rfam family: Bacterial small subunit ribosomal RNA
Source: RNAcentral